Molecule: ribosomal RNA, 468 nt
Filed under: uncultured bacterium
Lineage: Bacteria
Description: partial 16S ribosomal RNA
Rfam family: Bacterial small subunit ribosomal RNA
Source: RNAcentral
GACGAACGCUGGCGGCGUGCUUAACGCAUGCAAGUCGAACGGAAAGGCCCUGCUUUUGUGGGGUGCUCGAGUGGCGAACGGGUGAGUAACACGUGAGUAACCUGCCCUUGACUUUGGGAUAACUUCAGGAAACUGGGGCUAAUACCGGAUAGGAGCUCCUGCUGCAUGGUGGGGGUUGGAAAGUUUCGGCGGGUGGGGAUGGACGCGCGGCUUAUCAGCUUGUUGGUGGGGUAGUGGCUUACCAAGGCUUUGACGGGUAGCCGGCCUGAGAGGGUGACCGGCGACAUUGGGCCUGCGAUACGGAGCAGACUACUACGGGAGGCAGCAGUGGGGAAUAUUGCACAAUGGGCGGAAGCCUGAUGCAGCAACGCCGCGUGCGGGAUGACGGCCUUCGGGUUGUAAACCGCUUUCGCCUGUGACGAAGAGUGAGUGACGGUAAUGGGUAAAGAAGCACCGGCUAACUACGUG